UCUUCUGUCUCAAGCAAGAAAAUACCGCGGCGUUUGCGCUUUGCUUGUUUAAUUGAUUAUUGGUUCACUGGUUUAGGACUAUUGUCCAACAUUCGAAUAGAUGAGUUUUGGCGGUCUUUAUAAAUGUCUGGAUAUUUCUUGUAGCUUACACAAACAACCUGCCUUAAGCAACAACACGAUCUACUUACCAAGAGAAAAUACCUUCCAAGAAACAUGCAAUUGCAAUUCAUAAUAACAUUGUUCGUCAUUCUGAAAUCAUCCACUGGCCAAAAACUUACCGCAAAGCUGAUUCUACAACAAGAGAGCCUUGAAACAUUAAAGAACAGUAUCCUCUACGCCUCGCACUCAAAUUCAGCAAUUCAAAGCUAGCAAAUGGAACUGCUCUUCUGUGUGGGCCCGUCCAAUAAAGAAGAGAGACCCUCUGUAUAUGAUCCGACGAUUAGCUAACAGAGAGACAGCCUUCGUACACAGUAUAAAUGCCGCAGCCGUCACGUAUUUCUUAACCAGGGACUGUAGGAGAGGUAUAUUUAGGAAUUGCGCGUGUGUGCGACAGACGGGCCAAGCUGGAGAAUGGCGGGGGUGCAACGACAAUGUCAAGUUUGGUGAAGUGCUUUCCAAACAUUUUCUAAACGCCCGCCAUGUGGACAAAAGCAAGGCCAGAGCGGUCAUCCAUUUGCACAACAAAUGUGUGUGUUAACACCGCUGACCAAAAAAAGCCCGCCGUAGCCUGGUCUUCCUAAAGCCCUCACCGGACUACUGUCAUCGCGACACGAAGAAAGGAUCAACCGGUGUGCUAGGUCGAGUAUGUAGCAGCGACAGCGCCAACUACUUAGAGUGCAAUGUUAAUAAAUGUUAAUGAUACCAACAGUCAAUGUUUUUAAAUUUUAAUGAUAACAACAGUCAAUUGUAAUUAAAAAUACAAAAUUAAUUGAAAAUAUUUUAAGUAUCAAAUAAAACGCUAACGUAAUGUAAAUAUCUCAAACUUGUGUAUCUACCAAACCGUACAAUUACUAAAAACUAAAUCUCAGGGUGGGGACUCUCCCUUAAAAAAAUGUACAUAUGCAUGUCGAGAAAAUUAAUUUUAACCUUGUGGUUAACCCCUAACCUGGGUGUGGUUUCUGUAUGUUUUAACCCUAAGGGAUAGCAGAUAAUUAAUAAGAAUUAUCAGGUUUCUGAGUUUUAUUAACCGGCUGAUUGAAAUUUGAUUAAACAGAAAGCCUUACAGGCUGUGACAGGAAGUGUUCGGGGGUUGGGACGAGCAUAUGUACAUUGUUUAUAUAGAGUUCUCCCCCCGGCCUUUAACCUCAAAUAAUAUUGUACACCAAUGUAAAAAAAAAAACGUUGUCAUUGCAAAUGACGAACGGAGAGUGGCAGACUAACAGAACUUGACUCUUUUCAUAUUUCUUUUAUAGAUUAAAUGAAAAUGUAAAUAAUAAUGCAAUUAUUUUAUGUAUCAUCUUUGUCCUUGCAAAUAUUGAAAACAAUAAACAGCGACCGGUCUUAGAACUAACAUUUUCCCUUUGUUAUUCGUCAUUAACACCUGGCAUUUUUUUAAGAAAAAGGUAUUUUUUAAGAAAAAGUUGUAUAC
Molecule: long non-coding RNA, 1588 nt
Organism: Nematostella vectensis (starlet sea anemone)
Lineage: Eukaryota; Metazoa; Cnidaria; Anthozoa; Actiniaria; Edwardsiidae
Exons: 3
Source: RefSeq, a predicted model, not a curated record